Molecule: ribosomal RNA, 444 nt
Filed under: uncultured bacterium
Lineage: Bacteria
Description: bacterial SSU rRNA
Rfam family: Bacterial small subunit ribosomal RNA
Source: RNAcentral
AACGCGAAGAACCUUACCAACCUUUGACAUGUCCAGUAUGGGUCCGAGAGAUCAGAUCCUUCAGUUCGGCUGGCUGGAACACAGGUGCUGCAUGGCUGUCGUCAGCUCGUGUCGUGAGAUGUUGGGUUAAGUCCCGCAACGAGCGCAACCCUUAUUACCAGUUGCCAUCAUUCAGUUGGGCACUCAGGUGAGACCGCCUCGGAUAACGGGGAGGAAGGCGGGGAUGACGUCAAGUCCUCAUGGCCUUUAUGUCCAGGGCUACACACGUGCUACAAUGGCCGGUACAAACCGUCGCAAACCCGUGAGGGGGAGCUAAUCGGAAAAAGCCGGCCUCAGUUCGGAUUGGAGUCUGCAACUCGACUCCGAUGAAGCUGGAAUCGCUAGUAAUCGCGGAUCAGAACGCCGCGGUGAAUACGUUCCCGGGCCUUGGUACACACCGACAUA